Triticum aestivum (bread wheat) is the source of this 95-nucleotide non-coding RNA. NCBI's taxonomy places the organism in Eukaryota, Viridiplantae, Streptophyta, Magnoliopsida, Poales, Poaceae. The record is from Rfam.
GUUGUAGUGGUGAUGACAAAUUUGUGGACUAGAGUUUCUGAUGCCACCUCUUCAGUGGCAUCUGCAGAUGACCUCUUGGCUGUCUGAGCUCCUAG